RNAcentral lists this long non-coding RNA (897 nucleotides) under Homo sapiens (human). Its description in RNAcentral is "HSALNT0362863". The stretch from base 770 to 829 matches the Rfam family "U7 small nuclear RNA". The record is from RNAcentral. Lineage: Eukaryota; Metazoa; Chordata; Mammalia; Primates; Hominidae.
GCCAGUUGAUCCAUCAAGAGUAGAGUCUGCAAAACAUCUCAGGCACUGAUCUUGGGAGCAGUUUAGGGAAGGUCAGAAUCUUGUGGCCUCCAACUACUUGACUCCUAAACCGUAAUUUCUAAUACUGUGGCUAACUUUAGUAGUCUAGUCUCCAGGCAAGAAGGGAGUUUGUUCUGGGAAAGGGCUGUUAUUGUCAUUUUUUAAAACUAUAAACUAAGUUCCUCCCAAAGUUUUUUCAGCCUGCGCCCAGAAAUGAACAAGGACAGCUUGGAGGUUAGAGGCAAGAUGGAGUCGUUUAAGUUGGACCUCUUUCACUGUCUCAGUCAUAAUUUUGCAAAGGCGGUUUCAGUUGCAGACAAAAGGAUCCGCAGGCUCCAGUGACUGUCUGCAUGGCGGGAGAAAACACAAGAAACUGGUUGGAGUAAAAAGAUUCCCCUUUUCAAGAUCGCCAAAAGUGGAACUGAUCGCUUUCGAAGGGACUCCUUCAGGAAGAAGGAGAAAAAUUCGAGAAACUUACCUGUUUCUCUCCCUGGAAUGCCUUCUGAACCCUGAGAUUUACUUUCCUCAAUAAAGAAGCUCGCCUCGCCCACCCAGCCCACUCUUCCUAGGAGCAGCGAGGAUCGCUGUCCCUCCAGCACAUACUAGUCAACUCGAGUCAUCUGAAUAUGGGCAUAUUGGGCACAUAUUUCUUUGUAAUGGUUCCUCUCCUAUUACAAUAUGUAUCUGUUGUUUCAUCGUUAGAUUGAAAGCUCUUUAAGAAUUAUGGUAACAGUGUUACAGCUCUUUCAGAAUUUGUUUAGCAGGUUUUCUGGUUUUCACAGGAAAAUAAAAUAAAAACAAUAAUUAUAAUAAUGGCUACCGUGUUUUGAAUGCUUGCUUUUAGGCUAUUAAGCACAG